GCGGCCUAUCAGCUUGUUGGUGAGGUAAAGGCUCACCAAGGCGACGACGGGUAGCCGGCCUGAGAGGGCGACCGGCCACACUGGGACUGAGACACGGCCCAGACUCCUACGGGAGGCAGCAGUAGGGAAUAUUGGGCAAUGGGCGAAAGCCUGACCCAGCGACGCCGCGUGAGGGAUGAAGGUCUUCGGAUUGUAAACCUCUUUCAGUAGGGAAGAAGCGAAAGUGACGGUACCUAAAGAAGAAGCACCGGCUAACUAUGUGCCAGCAGCCGCGGUAAUACAUAGGGUGCAAGCGUUGUCCGGAAUUAUUGGGCGUAAAGAGCUCGUAGGUCGUUUGUCGCGUCGAUUGUGAAAAUCUGAGGCUCAACCUCAGACCUGCAGUCGAUACGGGCAAACUAGAGUGUGGUAGGGGAGACUGGAAUUCCU
This 426-nucleotide ribosomal RNA is filed under the name uncultured Actinomycetes bacterium. Its description in RNAcentral is "bacterial SSU rRNA". It matches the Rfam family "Bacterial small subunit ribosomal RNA", at positions 233 to 671 of the family's 1533-position model. The record is from RNAcentral. Lineage: Bacteria; Bacillati; Actinomycetota; Actinomycetes.